This 486-nucleotide ribosomal RNA is filed under the name uncultured bacterium. Its description in RNAcentral is "partial 16S ribosomal RNA". It matches the Rfam family "Bacterial small subunit ribosomal RNA", at positions 29 to 507 of the family's 1533-position model. The record is from RNAcentral.
AUUGAACGCUGGCGGCAUGCUUUACACAUGCAAGUCGAGCGGCAGCGCGGGGGCAACCCUGGCGGCGAGCGGCGAACCGGUGAGUAAUGCAUCGGAACGUAUCCUCGAGUGGGGGAUAACCCAGCGAAAGUUGGGCUAAUACCGCAUGAGCUCUGAGGAGGAAAGCGGGGGACCUGCGAGGGCCUCGCGCUGGAGGAGCGGCCGAUGUCCGAUUAGCUAGUUGGUGGGGUAAAGGCUUACCAAGGCGACGAUCGGUAGCUGGUCUGAGAGGAUGAUCAGCCACACUGGGACUGAGACACGGCCCAGACUCCUACGGGAGGCAGCAGUGGGGAAUUUUGGACAAUGGGGGCAACCCUGAUCCAGCCAUGCCGCGUGAGUGAAGAAGGCCUUCGGGUUGUAAAGCUCUUUCGGACGGAACGAAAUGGGCGGGACUAAUACUCCUGUCUGAUGACGGUACCGUAAGAAGAAGCACCGGCUAACUACGUG